Molecule: small RNA, 419 nt
Filed under: Pongo abelii (Sumatran orangutan)
Lineage: Eukaryota; Metazoa; Chordata; Mammalia; Primates; Hominidae
Description: sense intronic
Source: RNAcentral
UUAAGUCACAAAAUUAGCAGCUCCCACAGUGUGUUCUGUUUAUCACACAACUACCAUUACUGUUUGUUCUCCCCUUUUAAGUAAUCUCUAGGCAGAGGAUCAGAGACCUAGUCUUGCUUCUAAAAUAUAUUUUCUCUUGACAAUUCAGUUGAUUAAAAUGUUUAAGAUCAGGUUUUAUUUAUUUGUUUGUUUACCUGAGAAAUAGAUCACUGUUUCUGGGGACUUUGAGACAUCUUCCAACAUCCCUGACUCUUAGUGGUUUUAAAACAGAAAUGUUUAGUAAUCUUAUCUUAACAUUGACCUAUUUUAUUCUUCAAAAGGCCAGUUUCUUAUCCUUUGGACAUUUUCUAAAUACCUGCUUAUAUGACUUUUUGCUGUAUUACCUUCUUGAUCUAAUAAACACUCCUAAAUGACUCCUA